CCAGGGUUCAAAUGGCUGAGCGGGAAGCGCUCUAGUAGGGACUCUGGCAACUCUGUUUUCUCCUUCUCUUCCUUUUCACCCAAUAAUACCCUGUCUUACUCAUUAUUUCAAAUUGUCUAAGAGCCUGAAUUUUCGUGGCUCUAGGGCAAAGAACCCCGUCUUUAACUGAACUAAGGAAAAGUCCUACAACAUUUUUGGCACGCAACGUGGGAGCUCGAGAAGCGGAAAUGUUUUACUAAGCCAGACCCCCUGUCGGCCCUCCCGCGCACUCCUUUCCCCCAGCAAACUGUCACCGGUCCAUGUUAUAUCACUGCCCAUAUGCUGGACACUGGAGGUCACAAAAUCUCCUAAAACUUUUGGCAACAAGAAACCUAGAGUUUGUUUGGACUAAUCUAUGUCUCCUCAUUUAAGGAAUACAUCUACUGAAGGAGUCUACUCCUGCCACCAAAGUAUAAAAGCUGGACAAACAACAUAACGGAAAUCAUUUGAAGGCAUUUGAAAGUGACCACCAUUCAUAGUUCUUUAAGGGUUAUAAACCCUGAGAGAUAAAAGGAAUCAAUAGAACCCAUACUUAUGGCAACAUUUCUCCUUUAGAGUAUUUUCAGCUUACUGUGUGGAAUAGAUUCAGAGAAGAAAGCCAAAGUCUCCCUGGGCUGAGGAAACAUUGGAUUUUCAGUACAGUCACAGCAGCUGUGAUUUCAGGGGACAAAAAUCUCAAGGAAUGUAUAUAACUGAACCCCAAAAUCUGUAUUCCAUUUUUUUUUAGACUUUUUCAACUCUGAAGCUGUACAGGGAAAGCUCUAAGAAGCCCAACCAAAAGCAGCAGUUUAGACUGUGUGAAAGCACUGAACACGUUUCAAUAGUUAACUGAAUGAGUAGGCUUGGCAAAUAUUCUAUGCUCUCAGCUAUAUCCUAGAAGUAUGGGACUAUAUCCUAGAAGUAUAUAGGGUAUAUAGAAGUAUCCUAGAAGUAUAUAUGGGACUAUAUCCUUAGAAGUAUGAUCCAUACCCUUGAAGUAAGAGAAAAACUGAAAAAAACAACAAGAACCAAUUUUGAACUGAAAAUAUUUCAGAAAAAAAUUGCAUCUGCACUUAACAUGUACAGAUUAUUUUUCUGGUCAUUAUUCCAUAAACAAUACAGUGUAACAACUAUUACAUAGCAUGCACAUUUUAUUAGGUAUAAUAGGUAAUCUAUAUACAUAUAUGCCCUGGAAUCUACUUUUUCUAAUACUAAUAUAGCCACUCAAGCUACCUUAAGAUUAGUUUUAGAAUAGUACAUUCUAAUAGUACAUUCUUUUU
Molecule: long non-coding RNA, 1298 nt
Filed under: Homo sapiens (human)
Lineage: Eukaryota; Metazoa; Chordata; Mammalia; Primates; Hominidae
Description: HSALNT0080464
Source: RNAcentral